UACGUAGGGUGCAAGCGUUGUCCGGAUUUAUUGGGCGUAAAGAGCUCGUAGGCGGCUUGUUGCGUCAGCUGUGAAAACCCGCAGCUCAACUGUGGGCUUGCAGCUGAUACGGGCAGGCUUGAGUUCGGCAGGGGAGACUGGAAUUCCUGGUGUAGCGGUGGAAUGCGCAGAUAUCAGGAGGAACACCGGUGGCGAAGGCGGGUCUCUGGGCAGUAACUGACGCUGAGGAGCGAAAGCGUGGGGAGCGAACAGG
This 253-nucleotide ribosomal RNA is filed under the name uncultured bacterium. RNAcentral describes it as "partial 16S ribosomal RNA". It matches the Rfam family "Bacterial small subunit ribosomal RNA", at positions 524 to 776 of the family's 1533-position model. The record is from RNAcentral.